Molecule: long non-coding RNA, 579 nt
Organism: Homo sapiens (human)
Lineage: Eukaryota; Metazoa; Chordata; Mammalia; Primates; Hominidae
Exons: 4
Source: RefSeq, a predicted model, not a curated record
GAGCACCUGAGAUCUGGAAGCAGGAAAAAUGGCAAAAGUCCCCAAGUGAUGGUGGAAACGCUCGAAGAGUGGCAGUAGCAUAGGAGAAAGGUACAGGCAGCUUUAAAGCAACAAACAAAACAACAGUAGACAAUGACCAGGAAAUAUGGUGAGAAGAGUCAUCGGAAGAAAAGAAAGGCAAAACUGCCAAGCAAACAAAUGAUUCUCCUCAUUCAUUGAUUCAACAAACACUUCCUAAGCUCCUCAAGGGGCCAGGGCCCAAGGCAGGCAUGAAGUAGCACUGAGCACACAGACAAGCAGGACACAGGCUGGGAAAUAUCAAUUAAGUUAAGCGCAGAGCAUCAUAAGGACCUUACUUUUCAAAAUCCAUGCUGGUGAACUUGACCUCUUUGAUACUUUAGGAUUGAUAUUACAAUCUCAAGAGGUAUCACGGAAUAUUGAGGUUUGUUCUGCAUUUGGUUAUUCAAAGCUUUGAUUUUUUAAAUGUAUAGAGAUACUCUGUGCUGGAUAUUAAACACAUGUCUAUUUCUUUUUCCUCUCCAACAAGGGAAAUAGAAGAAAAAUUAUCUUGAAUGAGGG